Molecule: unclassified non-coding RNA, 205 nt
Filed under: Hevea brasiliensis (rubber tree)
Lineage: Eukaryota; Viridiplantae; Streptophyta; Magnoliopsida; Malpighiales; Euphorbiaceae
Source: RNAcentral
AUUUGGUUCUUCGAUAUUUUCUCCAUUUGCCUCAUGAAGGGAAGGCUCAUAUUCCAUAAUGGAGAAGAAAGAUUUGUUGGAGUAACGUAUCAUACACUGGUCGUACCAAAUGAUGGCUUCUUUCUUCCCAGGGCAUAUCUGGGUAAUAUUUUUAGUGACGGUAUCCACACAUUCUUGACACUCCUGAGGACUGAGAUCUCCUCUG